Molecule: non-coding RNA, 138 nt
Organism: Gossypium arboreum
Lineage: Eukaryota; Viridiplantae; Streptophyta; Magnoliopsida; Malvales; Malvaceae
Source: Rfam
UGUUAAAAGUUUUAUCAAUUUCUACUGUUAAAAACUGACGUGGCUGAUAAAAUAACUAAACAAUUACAUGCCAUGUAUAUUUCAUUCUAACUUACAGGGACCAAUUUUUAAUAAUAGAAAUAGAUGAAAUUUAUAACA